CAAAUUUGAAAUCUGGCGCCUUCGGUGUCCGAGUUGUAAUUUGAAGAUUGUAACCUUGGGGUUGGCUCUUGUCUAUGUUUCUUGGAACAGGACGUCACAGAGGGUGAGAAUCCCGUGCGAUGAGAUGCCCAAUUCUAUGUAAGGUGCUUUCGAAGAGUCGAGUUGUUUGGGAAUGCAGCUCUAAGUGGGUGGUAAAUUCCAUCUAAAGCUAAAUAUUGGCGAGAGACCGAUAGCGAACAAGUACAGUGAUGGAAAGAUGAAAAGAACUUUGAAAAGAGAGUGAAAAAGUACGUGAAAUUGUUGAAAGGGAAGGGUUUGAGAUCAGACUCGAUAUUUUGUGAGCCUUGCCUUCGUGGCGGGGUGACCCGCAGCUUAUCGGGCCAGCAUCGGUUUGGGCGGUAGGAUAAUGGCGUAGGAAUGUGACUUUACUUCGGUGAAGUGUUAUAGCCUGCGUUGAUGCUGCCUGCCUAGACCGAGGACUGCGAUUUUAUCAAGGAUGCUGGCAUAAUGAUCCCAAACCGCCC
Molecule: ribosomal RNA, 524 nt
Filed under: Meyerozyma guilliermondii
Lineage: Eukaryota; Fungi; Ascomycota; Pichiomycetes; Serinales; Debaryomycetaceae
Description: eukaryotic LSU rRNA
Rfam family: Eukaryotic large subunit ribosomal RNA
Source: RNAcentral